UUCGCCAUCGGGAUUAAACAUAUUAGAAGGAAAUGGCAAAGACAAAGCCAUACGUACAUCUUGGCUCGUUUAUGUGGAAAAUUUUCAGCACAAUCAGUAACUAUACAAUGGUACUAUCUAUCAAGUGAAAAGUUACAAAACAUAAAGACAGACUUUGAUAACCAAAUACUCCAUUUGUUUUACCCUUUCCCAUAGUUUUCCAAUCAUAUUAUUCAUGCCUUCUUGCUAACACAAUCCAACUGGAGAGAGAGAUCCAAAAGUGAGGAUCACACUCCUAUCGGAUUCCAGCAGCCUGAAAGCAUAACCAAGACAUUGCUCAACUUCUAUCUACCCACAUGGAGGACACGAAAAAUGAGCAACUUUCAAAAACUAAAAUAUUUUAUGAUGCCAAACAUUGAUUAGAUUACCUAAUAUAUACAUAUAUGAUUCAUUCUUCUAUUUACAUUAUCCCAAGCCUAUAUGAUUAGAAGUUAGAACGUAUAAGUACCCUAUCUCAGCUGUCUUCAAUGGCGACUGCGCCCGGUGACGACAAUGGUCGUUUUGGAUGAUAUCCUUUGAUGAAAGACCAUACUUAGCAAUAACGGACAACUUUAACCAUCAUACGAAAGCAAUAUUACAAAAUCCUCAUAGCAAUUCCAAAAUUCAAAAUAUAAAAAUAUAAAAUUCAAAUAAUCCACUCAAAGAUAGCCACUGCCACCACACAACAGAAGAACAUAUACAUUUACGUGUCUCGUUUGAGACAAUAUAUACUAAUAUAGAUUUUCUUGAAGAACAGAUGUGUACAUACCUUUUCAUUUUCGCUUUCUAGUGCAGACGGGUGAACCCAAAAUACCUAAGCAUCGCAAGUCAAAAGUGCAAUAGAGCAUAGAGCAGACAUAAGCAGUGUAUAUAUCGGCUAAUAUAGAUGAUUUGUUAAUACAAAACACACCAUUAUAUCUCCUAGAUAAAAUUGAUAUAAUGUAUACCUUGAGAAAUAAGCAAAAAGAGCAAUAAGCAAGAAGACAGUAGAAUGUGUUGCUGUAAAACUCAAUGUGCAAUAAAAUUUCUCAUUCAAGCUAAUGAAUUUAUAGCUAAAAUGUAGGUUAUAAAGUCUCCAUUGUUAAACCUAAACCCUAAGGGCCCGUUUGAUAUGGGUUUAAAAGCAGGAUAAGUUAAAUUAAUAUGGAUUUAUGCAGUGUUUGGUAUUAUGUGCUACUAAUAUGGUCAACUCCAGGUUUAUCCCAAGACCCUAGCUUAUUUUGUGGGAUUAACCCACACUAAUUAUACCACCCUCCCCAUGGGAUAAAUUUAAUACCGAGAUGUUAAAAUCGAAAAUUGAUACCCUUUUCACGCCAAACGAUGCUGUGAGGAUACCAAUGCCUCCAUCUUAUUUUCAGAUUUGAGGACACGAAUGUCUUUUGGUAAAAUAUGUGAGGAUAAUUUAGGUAUUUGAUAUGUUAAUCCAACCUAUUCCAAUGGAUACCAAACACUUUUUGGGAUUAAUUACCAAUGAUAUCAAACACCCAUAUGAGAUUAGAAAUCAUGACUAAUCCACACUAAAUUAUCAGGAUAAUUUAUAUCCUGAUUAAUCCAAUACUGAAAACCAAACGGGAAGAAUUUGCUGAUUAUUAAUCGAUAGGUAAAUCUUUCCAAAUUUUUAUAUUUCUAAAAUUUAGUACUAAUCAUAAUAAAUGUAAUCUUUCCUAACAUAAUAAUUUUCCAUUGUUAAAUCUAAACCCUAAAAAUUGGUGGAUUAUUGAUCGAUUGGUAAAUCUUUUCAAAAUUUCAUUAUUCUAAAAUUGAGUACUAAUCAUAGUCAAAUAUAAUCUUUCCUAAUUGAAUACUUACCAUAGCGAGGCGGCGGAUUGUGUCGAUCUCGGCGGUGGCCGGCGCGGCGAAGCGAAUCGCGGCGGGAGGCAGAACGAAGAAAUUGGUGGAGUGGGGAGGCAGAUCGGAGCAGAUUUCGUUACCCCUUGAUUUCGUUACCGAGCUGAAUCGAUGACAACGAUGAUGCAGAUUCUUCUUUUGAAAGCGCCAUGGAUUAGGGUUUAAGAUUCUAAUGGGGAAGGGAGGAAAUCCUAUGAGUGAUCCACUUGAGUGGAGAAGCUGUCGAUUUGAGACGGGGGAUUUUUGUGUUAUGUGCCAGUGGGUGGAAUCGCCAGAAGGGCAGAUCACCGGGGGAUGGAAAUAUCGCUGACAUCGGAGAAGGUGGAAGGAUAUCUGGUGGAGGAGAGGAGAAUGGUGAAAUCAAUGGAAAUGAGAGUAGAGG
RNAcentral lists this long non-coding RNA (2248 nucleotides) under Salvia miltiorrhiza (redroot sage). RNAcentral's name for it is "long non-coding RNA (SMIL_LNC004971)". The record is from RNAcentral. Lineage: Eukaryota; Viridiplantae; Streptophyta; Magnoliopsida; Lamiales; Lamiaceae.